UUGCAUAAGCAUUCACCCACACUGGCC
RNAcentral lists this non-coding RNA (27 nucleotides) under Rattus norvegicus (Norway rat). The record is from RNAcentral. Lineage: Eukaryota; Metazoa; Chordata; Mammalia; Rodentia; Muridae.